UGGAAGUCGAGCGAUGAAGCUUUCUAGCUUGCUAGAAGGCUGAUUAGUGGCGCACGGGUGAGUAACGCAUAGGUUAUGUGCCUCUUAGUUUGGGAUAGCCAUUGGAAACGAUGAUUAAUACCAGAUACUCCCUACGGGGGAAAGAUUUAUCGCUAAGAGAUCAGCCUAUGUCCUAUCAGCUUGUUGGUAAGGUAAUGGCUUACCAAGGCUAUGACGGGUAUCCGGCCUGAGAGGGUGAACGGACACACUGGAACUGAGACACGGUCCAGACUCCUACGGGAGGCAGCAGUAGGGAAUAUUGCUCAAUGGGGGAAACCCUGAAGCAGCAACGCCGCGUGGAGGAUGAAGGUUUUAGGAUUGUAAACUCCUUUUGUUAGAGAAGAUAAUGACGGUAUCUAACGAAUAAGCACCGGCUAACUCCGUGCCAGCAGCCGCGGUAAUACGGAGGGUGCAAGCGUUACUCGGAAUCACUGGGCGUAAAGAGCGCGUAGGCGGGAUAGUCAGUCAGGUGUGAAAUCCUAUGGCUUAACCAUAGAACUGCAUUUGAAACU
Molecule: ribosomal RNA, 551 nt
Filed under: Helicobacter pylori
Lineage: Bacteria; Pseudomonadati; Campylobacterota; Epsilonproteobacteria; Campylobacterales; Helicobacteraceae
Description: bacterial SSU rRNA
Rfam family: Bacterial small subunit ribosomal RNA
Source: RNAcentral